This 433-nucleotide ribosomal RNA is filed under the name uncultured bacterium. Its description in RNAcentral is "partial 16S ribosomal RNA". It matches the Rfam family "Bacterial small subunit ribosomal RNA", at positions 29 to 507 of the family's 1533-position model. The record is from RNAcentral.
AACGAACGCUGGCGGCAUGCCUAACACAUGCAAGUCGAACGAGACCUUCGGGUCUAGUGGCGCACGGGUGCGUAACGCGUGGGAACCUGCCCUUAGGUUCGGAAUAACUCCCCGAAAGGGGUGCUAAUACCGGAUAAUGUCUUCGGACCACAGAUUUAUCGCCUUUGGAUGGGCCCGCGUUGGAUUAGCUAGUUGGUAGGGUAAAAGCCUACCAAGGCGACGAUCCAUAGCUGGUCUGAGAGGAUGCGCAGCCACACUGGGACUGAGACACGGCCCAGACUCCUGCGGGAGGCAGCAGUGGGGAAUAUUGGACAAUGGGCGAAAGCCUGAUCCAGCAAUGCCGCGUGAGUGAUGAAGGCCUUAGGGUUGUAAAGCUCUUUUACCCGGGAUGAUAAUGACAGUACCGGGAGAAUAAGCGCCGGCUAACUCCGUG